Molecule: ribosomal RNA, 250 nt
Filed under: uncultured bacterium
Lineage: Bacteria
Description: partial 16S ribosomal RNA
Rfam family: Bacterial small subunit ribosomal RNA
Source: RNAcentral
CAUGCCGUAAACGUUGGGUGCUAGACGUGGGGGCCUUUCCACGGUUUCCGUGUCGUAGCUAACGCAUUAAGCACCCCGCCUGGGGAGUACGGCCGCAAGGCUAAAACUCAAAGGAAUUGACGGGGGCCCGCACAAGCGGCGGAGCAUGCGGAUUAAUUCGAUGCAACGCGAAGAACCUUACCAGGGCUUGACAUUGAGUGAAAGACUAAGAGAUUAGUUCCUCAUCUUCGGAUGACACAAAAACAGGUGG